Molecule: ribosomal RNA, 441 nt
Filed under: uncultured bacterium
Lineage: Bacteria
Description: partial 16S ribosomal RNA
Rfam family: Bacterial small subunit ribosomal RNA
Source: RNAcentral
CCUACGGGUGGCAGCAGUGGGGGAUAUUGCACAAUGGGGGGAACCCUGAUGCAGCGACGCCGCGUGGGUGAAGGAGUGCUUCGGCAUGUAAAGCCCUAUCUGCAGGGAAGAAGCAAGACGGUACCUGACUAAGAAGCCCCGGCUAACUACGUGCCAGCAGCCGCGGUAAUACGUAGGGGGCGAGCGGUCUCCGGAUUCACUGGGUGUAAAGGGAGCGUAGACGGGCAUGCAGGACAGGUGUGAAAGCCCGUGGCCCAACCCCGGGACUGCCCUUGGAACUGGAUGGCUGGAGUGCGGGAGGGGCAGGCGGAAUUGCUGGUGUAGCGGUGAAAUGCGUAGAUAUUAGGAGGAACACCAGUGGCGAAGGCGGUCUGCUGGACAGCAACUGACGCUGAGGCGCGAAAGCGUGGGGAGCAAACAGGAUUAGAUACCCUAGUAGUC